RNAcentral lists this ribosomal RNA (494 nucleotides) under uncultured bacterium. RNAcentral's name for it is "partial 16S ribosomal RNA". It matches the Rfam family "Bacterial small subunit ribosomal RNA", at positions 28 to 507 of the family's 1533-position model. The record is from RNAcentral.
GACGAACGCUGGCGGCGCGCUUAACACAUGCAAGUCGAACGGAAAGGCCUGCUUUCCCUUGUGGAUUGCGGGUACUCGAGUGGCGAACGGGUGAGUAACACGUGAGUGAUCUGCCCCCAACUUGGGUAUAAGCCUGGGAAACUGGGUCUAAUUCCCGAUAGGACUGCAGGGUGGUGCCUGUGGUGGAAAACGAUUUUCUAGUGGUUGGGGAUGAGCUCGCGGCCUAUCAGCUUGUCGGUGGGGUAAUGGCCUACCAAGGCGGCGACGGGUAGCCGGCCUGAGAGGGUGGACGGCCACAUUGGGACUGAGAUACGGCCCAGACUCCUACGGGAGGCAGCAGUGGGGAAUAUUGCACAAUGGGCGGAAGCCUGAUGCAGCGACGCCGCGUGGGGGAUGACGGCCUUCGGGUGGUAAACUCCUUUCGACCGCGAGGAAGCCACCUGGUUGGAAGGGUGGUGACGGUAGUGGUAGAAGAAGCACCGGCUAACUACGUG